GACGAACGCUGGCGGCGUGCUUAACACAUGCAAGUCGAACGGAAAGGCCCUGCUUUUGUGGGGUGCUCGAGUGGCGAACGGGUGAGUAACACGUGAGUAACCUGCCCUUGACUUUGGGAUAACUUCAGGAAACUGGGGCUAAUACCGGAUAGGAGCUCCUGCUGCAUGGUGGGGGUUGGAAAGUUUCGGCGGUUGGGGAUGGACUCGCGGCUUAUCAGCUUGUUGGUGGGGUAGUGGCUUACCAAGGCUUUGACGGGUAGCCGGCCUGGGAGGGUGACCGGCCACAUUGGGACUGAGAUACGGCCCAGACUCCUACGGGAGGCAGCAGUGGGGAAUAUUGCACAAUGGGCGGAAGCCUGAUGCAGCAGCGCCGCGUGCGGGAUGACGGCCUUCGGGUUGUAAACCGCUUUCGCCUGUGACGAAGCGUGAGUGACGGUAAUGGGUAAAGAAGCACCGGCUAACUACGUG
RNAcentral lists this ribosomal RNA (468 nucleotides) under uncultured bacterium. RNAcentral describes it as "partial 16S ribosomal RNA". It matches the Rfam family "Bacterial small subunit ribosomal RNA", at positions 28 to 507 of the family's 1533-position model. The record is from RNAcentral.